GGAAGCGUGGCAGAGCGGUUGAAUGCAACGGUCUUGAAAACCGUCGAGGGCUUAUACCCCUCCGUGAGUUCGAAUCUCACCGCUUCCGCCA
This 91-nucleotide transfer RNA is filed under the name Vitreoscilla sp. RNAcentral describes it as "tRNA-Ser". It matches the Rfam family "tRNA". Rfam says of the family: Transfer RNA (tRNA) molecules are approximately 80 nucleotides in length. Their secondary structure includes four short double-helical elements and three loops (D, anti-codon, and T loops). Lineage: Bacteria; Pseudomonadati; Pseudomonadota; Betaproteobacteria; Neisseriales; Neisseriaceae. The record is from RNAcentral. RNAcentral also lists the same sequence under 3 other names.